Molecule: small RNA, 51 nt
Filed under: Arabidopsis thaliana (thale cress)
Lineage: Eukaryota; Viridiplantae; Streptophyta; Magnoliopsida; Brassicales; Brassicaceae
Description: ATSL104910
Source: RNAcentral
AGUUAGAUGAGAAAACACUGUAGCAUAUGAAGAAAAAAAAACACAAAAAAG